This 162-nucleotide small nuclear RNA is filed under the name Dermacentor silvarum. Its description in RNAcentral is "U1 spliceosomal RNA". It matches the Rfam family "U1 spliceosomal RNA". Rfam says of the family: U1 is a small nuclear RNA (snRNA) component of the spliceosome (involved in pre-mRNA splicing). Lineage: Eukaryota; Metazoa; Arthropoda; Arachnida; Ixodida; Ixodidae. The record is from RNAcentral.
UUAUUGAGGUGUUGAGCCCUUCGGCGAUCAGCGAGGCCGGGGCCCCGCGCCGACGCCUCCCAUUGCACUGUGGGUGGCUGAAGCGCGCCACCUGCCCCAACCUGGGGUAGGUAGGGCACCUAAUUUUUGGUAGUGGGGGCUUGGCGUGCGUGCCGGCCCCUA